Molecule: ribosomal RNA, 754 nt
Filed under: uncultured bacterium
Lineage: Bacteria
Description: bacterial SSU rRNA
Rfam family: Bacterial small subunit ribosomal RNA
Source: RNAcentral
AGAGUUUGAUCCUGGCUCAGAUUGAACGCUGGCGGCAGGCCUAACACAUGCAAGUCGAGCGGUAGCACAGGGAGCUUGCUCCUGGGUGACGAGCGGCGGACGGGUGAGUAAUGUCUGGGAAACUGCCUGAUGGAGGGGGAUAACUACUGGAAACGGUAGCUAAUACCGCAUAACGUCUUCGGACCAAAGAGGGGGACCUUCGGGCCUCUUGCCAUCAGAUGUGCCCAGAUGGGAUUAGCUAGUAGGUGGGGUAAUGGCUCACCUAGGCGACGAUCCCUAGCUGGUCUGAGAGGAUGACCAGCCACACUGGAACUGAGACACGGUCCAGACUCCUACGGGAGGCAGCAGUGGGGAAUAUUGCACAAUGGGCGCAAGCCUGAUGCAGCCAUGCCGCGUGUAUGAAGAAGGCCUUCGGGUUGUAAAGUACUUUCAGCGAGGAGGAAGGCAUUGUGGUUAAUAACCGCAGUGAUUGACGUUACUCGCAGAAGAAGCACCGGCUAACUCCGUGCCAGCAGCCGCGGUAAUACGGAGGGUGCAAGCGUUAAUCGGAAUUACUGGGCGUAAAGCGCACGCAGGCGGUUUGUUAAGUCAGAUGUGAAAUCCCCGGGCUCAACCUGGGAACUGCAUUUGAAACUGGCAAGCUUGAGUCUUGUAGAGGGGGGUAGAAUUCCAGGUGUAGCGGUGAAAUGCGUAGAGAUCUGGAGGAAUACCGGUGGCGAAGGCGGCCCCCUGGACAAAGACUGACGCUCAGGUG